GCCCGCUGCUGCCGCUCGCGGUGCCGGGGAGCUCGAGCCGGCAGCUCCGCUUCGCAGCGGCUGCGCCGACAGACGGGCGGGCCGAGCUGCGGCCGCCGCGCUGCGCUGAGGGGGCUCCGGGGGCCGCGCGCUCGCGCUGUUCCCUCAGCAUCCCGCGGUGCCGCCCCGCUGUGAUACCGACACGGCGCGGGCAGUGCGGCACUCGGGGGAGCUGCAGCAGCGCACCUGGUGAGAAGGGAAGGGGCUGAAGCACCAGUUAAUUCAUCAGCCCACCCCCACAGCAGACACCACUACAGCAGCGGUCAGUCUCACCCUGAAGGCUGCGGGCACGGGAAGCAAGGACUGUCACUACAUUAACCACGGGUCUGUGCUCAGACAGGUGGGAAAACCAAAUAGGACAGACAGCAGACACUGCCCCCAGAGCCUUCUCUUCAGUUACAGCCUGGAUAUGUUCUUGAUCUCCAUAAGAGGAGCUGUGUUACUUCUGUGGUAGCAGAAGUUGCAUGUGGCCCUAAACGUCAGAGCAGUAUGCUCUGUGAUUCCUUUUAGGAAGCUAUUUCCAUGAACACAAAAAACAACACUGCUACAACUAAAGGAAAAUUCCAGAGAAAGAACCAGCUGCCUGCAACACACUCAGCACACUAUAAAACAAGAGCCUGUAGGGCUUGGGUGAAAGGUGGGGGGGGACACAUCCAUAAUGCAAACAGACCCUGAGCCACUAUUUCUGUAUCAUGGGACCCCUUACCACUGGGAGAGGAUCACAACUACAACAUAGAACAGCAGUACUGAGACACUGAGGCAAAAAAUUCUGAUGCUGGAGGAAAACAAGGGCAAUGUAAAAUAUAACGCUUUAUUAAAAACCAGUGUUCCAUUUACCUCGCUGAUAACAGAGAAAACACCUUAUUCAAUAAUUAAUAUGGUUAUUAUUUUAUUCAUAAGACUGACCUUUAAAAGUUAGAGAAAAACAAAAUUAAGCCCGGUGCUACAAGAAAAUGGCUUGAUUGCAGAACAUCAGUUUAAACAAUCACAUUUACUAUCCUCCAGAUACAAAAUGUAGAAAUCCAAAGUGCUCUAUUGUUAUGAAACUAAGCUUCAACAUCCCUCUGAAGUAGGGGAGAGUCUUACCCCCUUUUAUUACAGAUGAGAAAAAAUUCACGUACAGUAAAACUGACUUAGUGUCUGUCACUAAGUUUGUGGCAAAGCUGAAGACAGAGGUCACGUUCCCUCAUCUCUUAACAGGACUUCAGUUGCCCUAACAGAAUGCACAAUGUGAAAUCUGGCCAUAAAGAUUUAACAUCAAAGAUUGUCACAGGUCAUAAUCUAAAUUACACUUCAUCAGGAUUUGAGAGUGAAUUCUGUCUGAAAA
Molecule: long non-coding RNA, 1366 nt
Organism: Coturnix japonica (Japanese quail)
Lineage: Eukaryota; Metazoa; Chordata; Aves; Galliformes; Phasianidae
Source: RefSeq, a predicted model, not a curated record